GAUGAACGCUGGCGGCGUGCCUAAUACAUGCAAGUCGAGCGAACAGAUGAGGGGCUUGCUCCUCUGACGUUAGCGGCGGACGGGUGAGUAACACGUGGAUAACCUACCUAUAAGACUGGGAUAACUUCGGGAAACCGGAGCUAAUACCGGAUAAUAUAUUGAACCGCAUGGUUCAAUAGUGAAAGACGGUUUUGCUGUCACUUAUAGAUGGAUCCGCGCCGCAUUAGCUAGUUGGUAAGGUAACGGCUUACCAAGGCAACGAUGCGUAGCCGACCUGAGAGGGUGAUCGGCCACACUGGAACUGAGACACGGGCCAGACUCCUACGGGAGGCAGCAGUAGGGAAUCUUCCGCAAUGGGCGAAAGCCUGACGGAGCAACGCCGCGUGAGUGAUGAAGGUCUUCGGAUCGUAAAACUCUGUUAUUAGGGAAGAACAAAUGUGUAAGUAACUAUGCACGUCUUGACGGUACCUAAUCAGAAAGCCACGGCUAACUACGU
This 496-nucleotide ribosomal RNA is filed under the name uncultured bacterium. RNAcentral describes it as "partial 16S ribosomal RNA". It matches the Rfam family "Bacterial small subunit ribosomal RNA", at positions 28 to 506 of the family's 1533-position model. The record is from RNAcentral.